UCAUCAAAGAACACGGAGCUGCCCCAUGGAGAAUCAUAUUCCACCUAAGAAAUUCUGCAACAAAAUAGAACACUUUUUCCUAAAGAAGAACAUUUCAGUGUAUGUUAUGGUCACUAUCUCAUUUGUGAAAUAUCCCUGCAAGGAGUGCAGAUGA
RNAcentral lists this long non-coding RNA (154 nucleotides) under Mus spicilegus (steppe mouse). RNAcentral's name for it is "lncRNA (ENSMSIG00000004485.1)". Lineage: Eukaryota; Metazoa; Chordata; Mammalia; Rodentia; Muridae. The record is from RNAcentral.